Molecule: ribosomal RNA, 29 nt
Filed under: Armillaria ostoyae
Lineage: Eukaryota; Fungi; Basidiomycota; Agaricomycetes; Agaricales; Physalacriaceae
Description: partial small subunit ribosomal RNA
Source: RNAcentral
UUUCGUACGUGACCUGCGGAGGAUCAUUA